RNAcentral lists this ribosomal RNA (495 nucleotides) under uncultured bacterium. Its description in RNAcentral is "partial 16S ribosomal RNA". It matches the Rfam family "Bacterial small subunit ribosomal RNA", at positions 28 to 507 of the family's 1533-position model. The record is from RNAcentral.
GACGAACGCUGGCGGCGUGCCUAAUACAUGCAAGUAGAACGCUGAAGGAGGAGCUUGCUUCUCCGGAUGAGUUGCGAACGGGUGAGUAACGCGUAGGUAACCUGCCUGGUAGCGGGGGAUAACUAUUGGAAACGAUAGCUAAUACCGCAUAACAGUAGAUGUUGCAUGACAUUUGCUUAAAAGGUGCAAUUGCAUCACUACCAGAUGGACCUGCGUUGUAUUAGCUAGUUGGUGAGGUAACGGCUCACCAAGGCGACGAUACAUAGCCGACCUGAGAGGGUGAUCGGCCACACUGGGACUGAGACACGGCCCAGACUCCUACGGGAGGCAGCAGUAGGGAAUCUUCGGCAAUGGACGGAAGUCUGACCGAGCAACGCCGCGUGAGUGAAGAAGGUUUUCGGAUCGUAAAGCUCUGUUGUAAGAGAAGAGCGAGUGUGAGAGUGGAAAGUUCACACUGUGACGGUAUCUUACCAGAAAGGGACGGCUAACUACGUG